Molecule: ribosomal RNA, 447 nt
Filed under: uncultured bacterium
Lineage: Bacteria
Description: bacterial SSU rRNA
Rfam family: Bacterial small subunit ribosomal RNA
Source: RNAcentral
ACCAGACUCCUACGGGAGGCAGCAGUGGGGAAUAUUGGGCAAUGGGCGCAAGCCUGACCCAGCAACGCCGCGUGAAGGAAGAAGGCUUUCGGGUUGUAAACUUCUUUUAAGAGGGAAGAGUAGAAGACGGUACCUCUUGAAUAAGCCACGGCUAACUACGUGCCAGCAGCCGCGGUAAUACGUAGGUGGCAAGCGUUAUCCGGAUUUACUGGGUGUAAAGGGCGUGUAGGCGGGGACGCAAGUCAGAUGUGAAAACCACGGGCUCAACCUGUGGCCUGCAUUUGAAACUGUGUUUCUUGAGUACUGGAGAGGCAGACGGAAUUCCUAGUGUAGCGGUGAAAUGCGUAGAUAUUAGGAGGAACACCAGUGGCGAAGGCGGUCUGCUGGACAGCAACUGACGCUGAGGCGCGAAAGCGUGGGUAGCGAACGGGAUUAGAUACCCCAGUA